UGUACCACCUUGUCGGGUAGCUUAUCAGACUGAUGUUGACUGUUGAAUCUCAUGGCAACAGCAGUCGAUGGGCUGUCUGACAUUUUGGUAUC
This 92-nucleotide non-coding RNA is filed under the name Canis lupus familiaris (dog). RNAcentral describes it as "miRNA (multiple genes)". The stretch from base 11 to 82 matches the Rfam family "mir-21 microRNA precursor family". Lineage: Eukaryota; Metazoa; Chordata; Mammalia; Carnivora; Canidae. The record is from RNAcentral. RNAcentral also lists the same sequence under 39 other names.